This 481-nucleotide ribosomal RNA is filed under the name uncultured bacterium. Its description in RNAcentral is "bacterial SSU rRNA". It matches the Rfam family "Bacterial small subunit ribosomal RNA", at positions 33 to 507 of the family's 1533-position model. The record is from RNAcentral.
ACGCUGGCGGCAUGCCUUACACAUGCAAGUCGAACGGCAGCGACGGGAGCAAUCCUGGUGGCGAGUGGCGAACGGGUGAGUAAUAUAUCGGAACGUGCCCAGUCGGUGGGGGAUAACGUAGCGAAAGCUACGCUAAUACCGCAUACGAUCUAUGGAUGAAAGCGGGGGAUCGCAAGACCUCGCGCGAUUGGAGCGGCCGAUAUCAGAUUAGGUAGUUGGUGAGGUAAAGGCUCACCAAGCCGACGAUCUGUAGCUGGUCUGAGAGGACGACCAGCCACACUGGAACUGAGACACGGUCCAGACUCCUACGGGAGGCAGCAGUGGGGAAUUUUGGACAAUGGGCGCAAGCCUGAUCCAGCAAUGCCGCGUGCAGGAUGAAGGCCUUCGGGUUGUAAACUGCUUUUGUACGGAACGAAACGGUGAGCUCUAAUACAGUUUGCUAAUGACGGUACCGUAAGAAUAAGCACCGGCUAACUACGUG